Molecule: ribosomal RNA, 449 nt
Filed under: uncultured bacterium
Lineage: Bacteria
Description: bacterial SSU rRNA
Rfam family: Bacterial small subunit ribosomal RNA
Source: RNAcentral
AUUGAACGCUGGCGGCGUGCCUAACACAUGCAAGUCGAGCGGUAACAGGUGUAGCAAUACAUGCUGACGAGCGGCGAACGGGUGAGUAAUGCUUUGGAAUCUUCCCAGUAGUGGGGAAUAACCAGUCGAAAGAUUGGCUAAUACCGCAUACGUCUGUAAAGGGAAAGCGGGGGCUCGUAAGACCUCGCGCUAUUGGAUGAGCCAAAGUCGGAUUAGCUAGUUGGGGGGUAAUGGCCUACCAAGGCGACAAUCCGUAGCUGGUCUGAGAGGACGACCAGCCACACCGGAACUGAGACACGGUCCGGACUCCUACGGGAGGCAGCAGUGGGGAAUAUUGGACAAUGGGGGAAACCCUGAUCCAGCGACGCCGCGUGUGUGAAGAAGGCCUGCGGGUUGUAAAAGCACUUUUAGUGGGGACAAAAAGCUACGGAUUAAUACUCUGUGGUCUU